Molecule: ribosomal RNA, 468 nt
Filed under: uncultured bacterium
Lineage: Bacteria
Description: partial 16S ribosomal RNA
Rfam family: Bacterial small subunit ribosomal RNA
Source: RNAcentral
GACGAACGCUGGCGGCGUGCUUAACACAUGCAAGUCGAACGGAAAGGCCCUGCUUUUGUGGGGUGCUCGAGUGGCGAACGGGUGAGUAACACGUGAGUAACCUCCCCUUGACUUUGGGAUAACUUCAGGAAACUGGGGCUAAUACCGGAUAGGAGCUCCUGCUGCAUGGUGGGGGUUGGAAAGUUUCGGCGGUUGGGGAUGGACUCGCGGCUUAUCAGCUUGUUGGUGGGGUAGUGGCUUACCAAGGCUUUGACGGGUAGCCGGCCUGAGAGGGUGACCGGCCACAUUGGGACUGAGAUACGGCCCAGACUCCUACGGGAGGCAGCAGUGGGGAAUAUUGCACAAUGGGCGGAAGCCUGAUGCAGCAACGCCGCGUGCGGGAUGACGGCCUUCGGGUUGUAAACCGCCUUCGCCUGUGACGAAGCGUGAGUGACGGUAAUGGGUAAAGAAGCACCGGCUAACUACGUG